RNAcentral lists this ribosomal RNA (545 nucleotides) under uncultured bacterium. RNAcentral's name for it is "bacterial SSU rRNA". It matches the Rfam family "Bacterial small subunit ribosomal RNA", at positions 92 to 624 of the family's 1533-position model. The record is from RNAcentral.
UCAGCGGCGGACGGGUGAGUAACACGUGGGUAACCUGCCUGAUAGACCGGGAUAACGCUUGGAAACGAGUGCUAAUACCGGAUAGGCUGCUUGGUUGCAUGACCGAGCAGGGAAAGAGGCUUUCGCCUCACUGUCAGAUGGACCCGCGGCGCAUUAGCUAGUUGGUGAGGUAACGGCUCACCAAGGCGACGAUGCGUAGCCGACCUGAGAGGGUGACCGGCCACACUGGGACUGAAACACGGCCCAGACUCCUACGGGAGGCAGCAGUAGGGAAUCUUCCGCAAUGGGCGCAAGCCUGACGGAGCAACGCCGCGUGAGUGAUGAACGCCUUCGGGUUGUAAAACUCUGUCUUCUGUGAAGAACACGCCUGUGAGUGGAAUGCUCAGGCUUUGACGGUAACUGAGGAGGACGCCCCGGCUAACUACGUGCCAACAACCGCGGUAAUACGUAGGGGGCAAGCGUUGUCCGGAAUCACUGGGCGUAAAGCGCGCGCAGGCUGAUAUCUACAUCCGGGGUCAAAGGCUAGAGUUCAGCUCUGGGACUGC